Molecule: ribosomal RNA, 2970 nt
Filed under: Triticum aestivum (bread wheat)
Lineage: Eukaryota; Viridiplantae; Streptophyta; Magnoliopsida; Poales; Poaceae
Description: partial small subunit ribosomal RNA
Source: RNAcentral
GCUCAGCCUGAGACUGAGAGUUCCGCCAAGAUCUGCCCACCGAUGUAGAUCCGACGGCGGGCUAAGCACCCAACUAUUUUUCCUGAAUAAUAACUGCGGUGGCCAAGCCGACGACUCGGUGCUUCUCCGCUCUCGAAUGAUCGGCGGCGGCGGACGCAGCAGGCGGCGCGGGCGUGCGUCGGCGACCCUGCCCUCGGGCCCUGCCGUGAGCCGCACUGAGAGCUCCGUCUCCUGCUGGUAUUGUGACUGCAAAAUUUAUGUCUUCAAUGACAUGAUAUUCAAUUUGGGGUGGAAACAUGCUAGAUACACCAGAGCAUGGUUUUCCUUAGGAGUUUAUUUCUCUCUUGUUGCUUUAGUUGGUAUAUCUUUGUUGCUAUUGUGGGAUCCAAUUGGUGCAUUAUAUUUUAGACGCGGAUCCAUUAGCGCCUGGUUACCAAAUAUACUGGCUCCCAGCUUCAGCGGAUCAAUAAUGGACACCUCAAUCAUCAUAGCAUCAACAAUCUUAUCUAUUGCUUUUCAUGAAUUUGGACAUGCUAUUGCAGCUGCAAGCGAGGGUGUACAGAUGGAAUAUGUUGCAAUAUUCAUGGCUGUACUUUUUCCUGGGGCAUUAGUUGCUCUGAACUAUGACCUGCUUGAGAAUCUACCCCUCUUUUCAAUGCUUCGGAUAUAUUGCGCGGGAAUUUGGCAUAAUGUUAUAGUAAGUUAUCCUGAUUUGCAUGAAUUAAUUUCAAAGUCUUGCCGCAAACAUCUAUUUUCAAUAUGUGUGGUAUGCCAUGCUAAAUUAUAGAGACCCUUGGUGCUCAGAUAAAAAGAAUCACAUGUAACUUGUAUUCUUGCUGCAAACAUCUAUUUUCAAUAUCUGUGGUAUGCCAUACUAAGUUGUAGUGACCCUUGGUGCUCAGAUAAAGAGAAGCACAUAUAUCUAGUAUUCUUGCAGUAACGAGGACAUCAAACAAGAACUAAGAACAAUUAGCUUUAUGUUGAUUGGCAUAAGAUACAAUUGGAUGCCUCAGUUAGACGAUUGCCCAACAGAUAUUGGAAAUUUAGUAUCCUACAGUGGGUAAUCAUGCACUAAUAUCCUCAUACUGGUAAUAAAUAGAUUUAUCCCUACAAAUUUGUUGUGGAAUAUAUCAGCGCGUAUAUGUCUAUAGUAAACCAUUGGGAAAAUUGUCCUUGACCGAGACAUCUGAUAGCUGAUAUUGAUCUUUACUAGGUUGUUUUACCAUACAUUUCUUGGUAUACUUUAUGAUUAACCAGGGCCUGAGAGAUAUGAAGUAUGAACCGGAUAACAAUAAUUGCUUGUAUAAUAAUGAUAGUUGACAGGUCAAGGUGUACUGGAUUGUAAGCUUCCUUUGGUCCAUGAGCAUUUAAGUAUAUGAUGAUACAGGUCAAGGUGUACUGGAUUGUAAGCUUUGUAACAACACUUCCAAUCUUAGAUGUGGCACCAUGGAGGUUUUUAAUUGUAUACUUGUAUACCUUACCAUAUUUUAGAAGUACCAUUUCUGCAAUAUUUUCAUAAGCCUCGUAAUGAUGUAGCUGUUAUGAUUUCAUGUUAAAUAGUUUUGUGCAGCAUGUGUGCUGAUGGCAUUAUUACUUCCUUUGGUCCUCUGUCCUCUCUACGUGAGUGGUGAUGGCCUUAUUGUCAUGGGAGUCUCACAAUCAUCUUCUCUGUCAAGGUCAUUGUCUGUUCAUGAUGUUAUCCUGUCUGUGGAUGGUCUGAACAUAAGAAAAACUGACGAUUGGAUGAAAAUGCUGGCUCAAGGCACUGUAGAGAAAACUAGUAGUCAUGAGUUUCUUGGUGGUUCUCAGAGCUAUGGUGUUACUAAUUCUGGCAAAGGUUAUUGUGUCCCCAACUCAUGGAUGGAUGCAAGCAAGAAUCUCUGGCAGAUAAAUGACAAGCUAUCUUGCCCAGAUGAACUGAUAGUGUUUGGGAAAUUUUCCUGUAAUGGCUCUGCGUAUUUUCCCGGGACUGACAAAGUAAGUGACAAGAAACAAACUGAGGACUUGUAUUGCUUGAUUGCAAAAGACGUAGUUAAACUAAAAAAAUGUGGAAAUGGAUGGCGGGGUACAGAAGAUGAUGACAGUAACUGUACCUGUUUGGAGGAGGAGUACUGCUUGGUACCUGUUCUUACCCCUGGGUUUUCAUGGAUAGAGAUCUCCUACACCAGGCCAUAUUCUUUGGAGUGUUUACAGAAAGAAGGAAAUUUAUCGUCAUCACAUGCUACAAAUGAUAACUUCGGUCCGAGUCCCUGUGGGGGAACUUUUGUUUAUGUUGGUGAUCUGUCAUCGACAGCAAGUUCUGUUAAGUUAUCCCCCUACAGGCCCCGAUGGGCAUUCUUCCUUCUUAUUGCAGAUGUUCCCUAUAUCUUGGAAAAUUGUUUAAGUUGUUUGCUUCAUGUGUCUGCGGCAUUGGCUGCCGUUAACUGCCUACCGGUAUACUUUCUAGAUGGGGACGCGAUUUUGGAGACUGCCUUACGCUACGUUGCUUGGUUUAACCGGAGACAGCAGCGGGUGAUUAUUAAGGUCUGCCGCUUUCUGUGGACCGUCCUAUCCAUCAUCAUGUUCUCAAGGUUCUUAUAUUCCGUGACAGUAUAUUAUGGCUAAUGUACAACUCCGUAUCAUGGGGUUCUCUCUAAAUUAUCCUUGCAAGAAUUCAGUAACAUAGUACCAGUCAGCUGUAUGAGAGAUAUCACAAAACUGGCCUGCAAGAUGCCUCGUUAUGAAACAAUGGCACUCUGACAUUGAUAAAAGUUGAUUCAAUAUGGCCCCUUAGAAGUAGUACAAGUACUUCACUACAUUCCAUGUGCAAAAUUUGGAUAAUUCCACGGCUUGUAGGAAUUUUGAAGACAAGGAAUAGAGUGGGUAUAUUAGGAGCUCAGUUCAAUACCCAUAACUGUCAAUCUUUAGUAGAGUAUAGGAUUUAGUGCAAUUUAUUGGAAAUAAAUAAAGUGAGACUAUUACUAGCACUCA